GAUUCAAGAGAGAUGGAUUUGAAGGGUGGACUAUUCAGUAGAUAAGGAAUUGGCUGGAUGGCUGCACCCAGAGAGUGAUGGUCAAUGGCUCAAUGUCCAACUGGAGGCUGCUGAUGAGUGGUGUACCUCAGGGGUCUCUGGGUCCAGUGCUAUUUAGUAUCUUUAAUAUCUUAAUAUCUUUAUCAACAACACAGACAGUGGGAUGGAGUGCAGCUUCAGCAAGUCUGCAGAUGACACCAAGCUGAGUGGUGCAGUCAAUAACAACAGGAAGAAGGGAUGCCAUCCAGAGGGACCUGGACAGGCCUGAGAAGUGGGCCCACGUGAACCUAAUGAUGUUCAAGUCAUGAGCACAGACUGGGUGAAGAACUCACUGGGAGAAGCCCUGCAGAGAAGGACAUGGGGGAUCUGGUGAACAAAAAGCUCAACACAAGCCAGCAGUGCGUGUCUGCAGCCCAGAAGGCCAACUGUAUCCUGGGCUGCACCAACAGAGGGGUGGGCAGCAGGUGGAGGGAGGGGAUUGAGCCCCUCUGCUCUGCCCUGGUGAGGCCCCACCUGGAGUGCUGCGUCCAGGGCUGGGGCCCCCAGCAUGAGAAAGAUGUGGGCUGUUAAAAUCGGUCCAGAGAAGAGCCAUGAGGACGAUCAGAGGGCUGGAGCACCUCUCCUAUGGGGACAGUCUGAGAGAGCUGGGACUAUUCAGCCUGCAGAAGAGGAUGCUCUGAGGACACUCCAUUGCAGCUUUUAAUAUUUAACAGGGGUUUAUAAAAAAGAUGGAGGAAGACUUUUUGCUUAGGCAGAUAACGAUAAAACAAAAGGGACAAGGUUUUAAACUAAAAGAGAGAAGAUUUAGAUGUUGGGGGGAAGUUCUUCACUUGGAGGAUGGUGAGGCCCUGGCACAUGCUGCCCAGAGAAGCUGUGGAUGCCCCAUCCCUGGAGAAAGAAAAACAAUGUGCACGUGGUGGAGCAGCAGCUGCUGCUGUUUCCUGACUGCAAGAAAAGAGUCACCGUGCCCCUGGUUAGGGUUUUGUUAAAGCCAUUCCUGUUCUUACGUCCCCUCUCCUCACCCUGCAUGGGGGCACUCACUGCAGCCCCAUCCCCUUGCUGCCACUGCACCGUGCGCUGUUACUCAUGUCUGGACAAAACAGAAGAAAUUCAACACAUUCACACAAAUUGCCCACAGAUGGGGAUGAGUUAA
This 1192-nucleotide long non-coding RNA is filed under the name Cairina moschata (Muscovy duck). Its description in RNAcentral is "domestica (muscovy Duck (domestic type)) lncRNA (ENSCMMG00000017473.1)". The record is from RNAcentral. Lineage: Eukaryota; Metazoa; Chordata; Aves; Anseriformes; Anatidae.